Molecule: ribosomal RNA, 253 nt
Filed under: uncultured bacterium
Lineage: Bacteria
Description: partial 16S ribosomal RNA
Rfam family: Bacterial small subunit ribosomal RNA
Source: RNAcentral
UACGUAGGGUGCGAGCGUUAAUCGGAAUUACUGGGCGUAAAGAGCGCGCAGGCGGUCGUAUAAGUCGAAUGUGAAAGCCCCUGGCUCAACUAGGGAGAGUCAUUCGAUACUGUUCGACUCGAAGGCAGGAGAGGGAAGUGGAAUUCCGGGUGUAGUGGUGAAAUGCGUAGAUAUCCGGAGGAACACCAGUGGCGAAGGCGACUUUCUGGCCUGUUCUUGACGCUGAGGCGCGAAAGCUAGGGGAGCAAACGGG